GACGAACGCUGGCGGCGUGCUUAACACAUGCAAGUCGAACGGAAAGGCCCUGCUUUUGUGGGGUGCUCGAGUGGCGAACGGGUGAGUAACACGUGAGUAACCUGCCCUUGACUUUGGGAUAACUUCAGGAAACUGGGGCUAAUACCGGAUAGGAGCUCCUGCUGCGUGGGGGGGGUUGGAAAGUUUCGGCGGUUGGGGCUGGACUCGCGGCUUAUUAGCUUGUUGGUGGGGUAGGGACUUACCAAGGCUUCGACGGGUAGCCGACCUGACAGGCUGAUAGGCCACACUGGAGCUGAGACGCGGUCCUGGGGCCUGCGGGACGCAGCAGUAGGGAAUGUUCCGCAGUGGGCGGAAGCCUGACGGAGCAGCGCCGCGUGAGUGAUGGAGGCCCUCGGAUCGUAAAACUCUGUUAUUAGGUGAAAACAUAUGUGUAAGUAACUGAGCACAUAGUGACGGUACUUGGUCAGAAAGCCCCGGCUAACUACGUG
This 488-nucleotide ribosomal RNA is filed under the name uncultured bacterium. RNAcentral's name for it is "partial 16S ribosomal RNA". It matches the Rfam family "Bacterial small subunit ribosomal RNA", at positions 28 to 507 of the family's 1533-position model. The record is from RNAcentral.